GUGAGGUAGUAAAAACCAAAUACAAAAUAAAAGGGGGAGUCGACUCACAGGCGUCGUCGUGGGAAAAAAAGCGGCGUGGCGGUGUCUCACAGGGGGGGGGGGGAGAAGCAGGGAUUAUCAACACGGCAGCGCGGAGGCUGUGGGCGUCUGCAGGAAUUACAACGUAGGAAGUACAAUUAAAAAGCUGCAGGUAAGUGCUCGGAGCCGUGUGAGGCCGUGGGCGUGGCUCAGAGAAAGCGUUUGUAUGACUUUCUCUGGCAGAUGUGUGUGUGUGUGUGUGUGUGGUGUUGGUUUGAUUAUAGUGUCUUUGAGCCAAGAAAUGUGUGCUCCUCUGUCUGGAACAGCCGCCCGAGCACAGCAGAUGUGUACACAAAGAU
Long non-coding RNA from Gasterosteus aculeatus aculeatus (three-spined stickleback), 377 nucleotides. The record is from Ensembl. NCBI's taxonomy places the organism in Eukaryota, Metazoa, Chordata, Actinopteri, Perciformes, Gasterosteidae.